RNAcentral lists this ribosomal RNA (465 nucleotides) under Vreelandella stevensii. RNAcentral's name for it is "partial 16S ribosomal RNA". It matches the Rfam family "Bacterial small subunit ribosomal RNA", at positions 338 to 795 of the family's 1533-position model. The record is from RNAcentral. Lineage: Bacteria; Pseudomonadati; Pseudomonadota; Gammaproteobacteria; Oceanospirillales; Halomonadaceae.
CCUACGGGUGGCAGCAGUGGGAAAUAUUGGACAAUGGGGGGAACCCUGAUCCAGCCAUGCCGCGUGUGUGAAGAAGGCCCUCGGGUUGUAAAGCACUUUCAGUGAGGAAGAACGCCUGGUGGUUAAUACCCAUCAGGAAAGACAUCACUCACAGAAGAAGCACCGGCUAACUCCGUGCCAGCAGCCGCGGUAAUACGGAGGGUGCGAGCGUUAAUCGGAAUUACUGGGCGUAAAGCGCGCGUAGGUGGCUUGAUAAGCCGGUUGUGAAAGCCCCGGGCUCAACCUGGGAACGGCAUCCGGAACUGUCAAGCUAGAGUGCAGGAGAGGAAGGUAGAAUUCCCGGUGUAGCGGUGAAAUGCGUAGAGAUCGGGAGGAAUACCAGUGGCGAAGGCGGCCUUCUGGACUGACACUGACACUGAGGUGCGAAAGCGUGGGUAGCAAACAGGAUUAGAUACCCUGGUAGUC